Molecule: ribosomal RNA, 692 nt
Filed under: uncultured Actinomycetales bacterium
Lineage: Bacteria; Bacillati; Actinomycetota; Actinomycetes; Actinomycetales
Description: bacterial SSU rRNA
Rfam family: Bacterial small subunit ribosomal RNA
Source: RNAcentral
AGUCGAACGGAAAGGCUCCUUGCUUGCAAGGGGUACUCGAGUGGCGAACGGGUGAGUAACACGUGGGUGAUCUGCCUUGCACUUCGGGAUAAGCCUGGGAAACUGGGUCUAAUACCGGAUAGGACCAUGCUUUAGUGUGUGUGGUGGAAAGUUUUUUCGGUGCAAGAUGAGCCCGCGGCCUAUCAGCUUGUUGGUGGGGUAAUGGCCUACCAAGGCGACGACGGGUAGCCGGCCUGAGAGGGUGUACGGCCACAUUGGGACUGAGACACGGCCCAGACUCCUACGGGAGGCAGCAGUGGGGAAUAUUGCACAAUGGGCGCAAGCCUGAUGCGGCGACGCCGCGUGGGGGAUGACGGCCUUCGGGUUGUAAACUCCUUUCGCUAGGGAAGAAGCCACUGUGUGGUGACGGUACCUGGAUAAGAAGCACCGGCUAACUACGUGCCAGCAGCCGCGGUAAUACGUAGGGUGCGAGCGUUGUCCGGAAUUACUGGGCGUAAAGAGCUCGUAGGUGGUUUGUCGCGUCGUCUGUGAAAUCCCGGGGCUUAACUUCGGGCGUGCAGGCGAUACGGGCAUAACUAGAGUGCUGUAGGGGAGACUGGAAUUCCUGGUGUAGCGGUGAAAUGCGCAGAUCUCAGGAGGACACCGAUGGCGAAGGCAGGUCUCUGGGCAGUUACUGACGCUGAGGAGCGAAA